This 195-nucleotide microRNA precursor is filed under the name Medicago truncatula (barrel medic). Its description in RNAcentral is "MIR2670 microRNA precursor family". It matches the Rfam family "MIR2670 microRNA precursor family". The record is from Rfam by way of RNAcentral. Lineage: Eukaryota; Viridiplantae; Streptophyta; Magnoliopsida; Fabales; Fabaceae.
UCGGGGUAAAAUAGUGAGUAGCCGACAUGGGGAAGUGAUCGACUGUUGGGAUAAGUUUAAAUCUGUUUUUUUUUUUUUUACUCCAUAAACUUUUUACCGUGGGUAAAAGGAUUUGUCUUGGGGUAUAAAAAAAAACAGAUUUAAAUUUAGCCCGAUGUAUUUUCCUCAUGAAAGCUGCUCACUAUUUUACCCCAA